This 533-nucleotide long non-coding RNA is filed under the name Marmota monax (woodchuck). Lineage: Eukaryota; Metazoa; Chordata; Mammalia; Rodentia; Sciuridae. The record is from RNAcentral.
GUCCUUUGCAUUUCUGGAAGAAUUUUAGAAUUAUCUUAUCAACUGCCAUAAAAAUAUCUGCUGGAAUUUUUAUUGGAAUGGCAUUGCCUCUCUCGGUCAAUUUGAGGAUUACUGACAUCUUAAGGAUAUUGGAUCUUCCUAACCUGUGAACACAGUACAUCCCUCUAUCUAGGUGGUCUUAAUUUCACUUCUCUUACAGAUUUUACUGAAAAGGUAUUCCACAUCUUUUCACAUCACUGUAAAUGGUAUUAUUUUUAAAAUUUGCAUAUCCAAUUGUUACUGAUACACAGAAACACAACUGACCUUGUAAUAUCGAUCCUGUCUUCCAACUUUGCUAAACUACUAAUUAAUUGAUCACAUAAAAUGUAUCCUCUCUUUUACAAUAUUUUUAGGAAGAGUUUCUGUAGAAUAAUUGUAUCUUCCUUGGAAGUUUGGCAGAAGUCAUUAGGUAAGCCAUUUGGGCCUGAAUUGUCAUUGUGGGAAAGUUUCUAUAUGCAAAUUCAACUACUUGAAUACAUAUGGAGCUAUUCAAG